CCAAUAGCGUAUAUUAAAGUUGUUGCAGUUAAAAAGCUCGUAGUUGAAUUUCGGGAUCAAUAUGUUGGUCGUGCCUUGGUACGUACUAGCUUAUUGAUUUCUUCCUUCUGACGAAUCAUGAUGUCAUUAAUUUGGUGUCAUGGGGAAUCAGGACUGUUACUUUGAAAAAAUUAGAGUGUUUAAAGCAGGCUCACGCUUGAAUACAUUAGCAUGGAAUAAUGAAAUAGGACGUUUGAUUCUAUUUUGUUGGUUUCUAGGAUCGACGUAAUGAUUAAUAGGGAUAGGUGGGGGCAUUAGUAUUCAAUUGUCAGAGGUGAAAUUCUUGGAUUUAUUGAAGACUAACUACUGCGAAAGCAUUUGCCAAGGAUGUUUUCAUUAAUCAAGAACGAAAGUUAGGGGAUCGAAGACGAUCAGAUACCGUCGUAGUCUUAACCAUAAACUAUGCCGACUAGGGAUCGGAUGAUGUUAAUUUUUUAAUGACUCAUUCGGUGCCUUACG
This 498-nucleotide ribosomal RNA is filed under the name uncultured Glomeromycotina. Its description in RNAcentral is "partial small subunit ribosomal RNA". It matches the Rfam family "Eukaryotic small subunit ribosomal RNA", at positions 591 to 1092 of the family's 1831-position model. The record is from RNAcentral. Lineage: Eukaryota; Fungi; Glomeromycota.